RNAcentral lists this ribosomal RNA (550 nucleotides) under uncultured bacterium. RNAcentral describes it as "bacterial SSU rRNA". It matches the Rfam family "Bacterial small subunit ribosomal RNA", at positions 124 to 708 of the family's 1533-position model. The record is from RNAcentral.
AUGUACCCUUCUCUAAGGAAUAGCCUCUGGAAACGGAGAGUAAUACCUUAUACGCCCUUCGGGGGAAAGAUUUAUCGGAGAGGGAUCAGCCCGCGUUAGAUUAGAUAGUUGGUGGGGUAACGGCCUACCAAGUCUACGAUCUAUAGCUGGUUUUAGAGGAUGAUCAGCAACACUGGGACUGAGACACGGCCCAGACUCCUACGGGAGGCAGCAGUGGGGAAUCUUGGACAAUGGGCGCAAGCCUGAUCCAGCCAUGCCGCGUGAGUGAUGAAGGCCUUAGGGUCGUAAAGCUCUUUCGCCAGGGAUGAUAAUGACAGUACCUGGUAAAGAAACCCCGGCUAACUCCGUGCCAGCAGCCGCGGUAAUACGGAGGGGGUUAGCGUUGUUCGGAAUUACUGGGCGUAAAGCGCGCGUAGGCGGGUUGUUAAGUUAGAGGUGAAAUCCCGGGGCUCAACCCCGGAACUGCCUUUAAUACUGGCAACCUAGAGUUCGAGAGAGGUGAGUGGAAUUCCGAGUGUAGAGGUGAAAUUCGUAGAUAUUCGGAGGAACA